This 1928-nucleotide long non-coding RNA is filed under the name Carica papaya (papaya). Its description in RNAcentral is "long non-coding RNA (CPAP_LNC009187)". Lineage: Eukaryota; Viridiplantae; Streptophyta; Magnoliopsida; Brassicales; Caricaceae. The record is from RNAcentral.
GGUUUUGAGGGUGAUGUUAGUAGAAAAAAAAAGGGGAGGAAGUUUGACUGAGGAGGAAAAGAGAUUAAGCGAUUCUCGAAAGGCUAAGGUGAUUGAGAGAAUCGUUGCUGUGUUGAGAUCGAUAGAGGCAAGAGGUAAUAUAAAUUCGAGUUUUAAACACUGAAAAUGGGAUUUUGUAAUUAAAUCUUACAAUGUGAUUGAUGUUUGGUGUAAUGAACCCUAGAAGAGAGAGAGGACUAACAGAGAGGAUAGGGAGCUGUGAAAUCAGAGGAGUGUCGGUGAGGAAGGAAAUCGAGAGGAGUAGGUGAAAUGGUGAGGAACUCGAACGGGAGGGAUGAUGCAGAAAUGAGACCGUGUAUAUAGAUAUAGAUCGGUAUAUGUAUAGGUACUGGAAUAUCACCAGAGGGAAAAAUCAAUUCGAAAAUGAAGAGAUUAGACAAGGAGUGUUUGACAGUCAUUAAAGAGAGAGAAAACUCGAGAUUUUGAAGUUUAGGUUGGGGAGGGAGUAUGGAACGGAGACUGUGGUGGUUUUAGUGUCUUGAGAGUGACGGUUAGGAGGGAUGAGAGAGAGAGAGAUACAUGGGAGGGUAAGAGGAAAACAGGAAGUUGGGAUGGACGUCCAUACAGUAUGAAAGGAGGGGAGAGAGUGGCAAUAACGAUGUGUGUGUGUGUUUGUGUAUGAUACAUGACAGGAAUAAUAAAAAUGUGAAAACUGUAUGUACUCCGUUUGCACGCGUAUGUAGGUGAUGAAUUACUCUGCGUGCUGAUUGAGUAUGUAUGCCUAUAUGAAAUAUUCUGCAUGUUUGUUGUCGAAUAUGCAUGCUUAUAUGAUGAUUGAUUGUGAUUGUGAAAAUUGUAUAAAUGUAGUCAUGGUAUUUUCCUAGAGUGGGAAUGUCGAUAUUGGCUGUUGAUAGUUGUUGGUAAUGGAACAUGGGAGAACUGCCGAUAUUGGUGAUGACUGAGGCUCACCUGGAGGGUAACAGUACGAGUCUGUGGCAAGCUUGGGGUGGAUUACUGGCCAUAGUAAGUUGGAUCGUCGAUAUUGGUGAUGACUGGGGGUUAUCGGGAGGGUAACGGCGUGGGUGUGUGGUCGGUUUAUGGUCGAAUGUGGGCGGAAAUGGGAAUAAGUUAGGUCGCUGAUAUUGGUGAUGGAUGGGGAUUACCUGAAUGGAUAACAGUGUGAGUGGGUGGCCGAUUAAGGGUCAAGUAGUGGCAGAAAUGGAGGUGAAUUGGGUUACCGAUAUUGGCGAUGGCUGAGGGGUUUAUCUGGAGAGUAAUAGUGUGGGUGUGUGGCCGAUUUAUGAUCAAGUUGACAGGUGCUUUGGGUACUGUUGUAUGGUCUAUAGAGGUGACCUCACGUGGUAAGAGUCGGUAAGAGUUGACGGUCUUUUUUUGAGGAGAGUUGUAAUUAUAGUGGUGGUAAGCGAGAAAGAGGGGAAGAUUGUGGGUAAGCGAGAAAGAGGGGAAGAUUGUGGGUAAGGGGAGACGAAGAGGCUAAUAGAAGUAAGAAUAUAGGAAGUGGGACACUAAUGUAGGCAUUUAAUUGGGUUUUCAUGUUAUGUUUAUGAUUUGAAUUUGUGUAUACUCAUUACUUAACAUUUACAGAUAAUGUAGUACAGGAAACUGGACCAGAGUUGCACUCUUCUGAGCUUAGCGUGCAGAGGAGACUGGAUGGGAAGCGUGGAUAGUGCACCGAAAUACUUGUAUAGUUAGUGGAAAGUAGACUAUUUUAAAAUAAAAACAGUGUAAUUGUAAUCUACAGUAUUAAUAUAUGUAUGAUGGAGAAACUUUAGACAUUGAAUGAUUAAAUUUAAAUAUUUAUUAUGUACCGGAUUACAUAGUGUUGAGAGAAUUUGGUUAUGAAAUAAAAUGUCAUACUAGAUAUGCAGCCAGGGUCGUCGUACCGCCUCUAAAAUUAAGAUCGGGGC